This 223-nucleotide ribosomal RNA is filed under the name uncultured bacterium. RNAcentral describes it as "partial 16S ribosomal RNA". It matches the Rfam family "Bacterial small subunit ribosomal RNA", at positions 15 to 219 of the family's 1533-position model. The record is from RNAcentral.
GAUCCUGGCUCAGGAUGAACGCUGGCGGCGUGCUUAACACAUGCAAGUCGGAACGAAGCACCUUGAUUUGAUUCUUCGGAUGAAGAUCCUGGUGGCUGAGUGGCGGACGGGUGAGUAACGCGUGGGUAACCUGCCUCAUACAGGGGGAUAACAGUUAGAAAUGACUGCUAAUACCGCAUAAGACCACAGCACCGCAUGGUGCAGGGGUAAAAACUCCGGUGGU